CGGCAGGCCUAACACAUGCAAGUCGAACGGUAGCACAGAGGAGCUUGCUCCUUGGGUGACGAGUGGCGGACCGGGGAGUAGUGUAUGGGAAACUGCCCGAUGGAGGGGGAUAACUACUGGAAACGGUAGCUAAUACCGCAUAACGUCGCAAGACCAAAGAGGGGGACCUUCGGGCCUCUUGCCAUCGGAUGUGCCCAGAUGGGAUUAGCUAGUAGGUGGGGUAACGGCUCACCUAGGCGACGAUCCCUAGCUGGUCUGAGAGGAUGACCAGCCACACUGGAACUGAGACACGGUCCAGACUCCUACGGGAGGCAGCAGUGGGGAAUAUUGCACAAUGGGCGCAAGCCUGAUGCAGCCAUGCCGCGUGUAUGAAGAAGGCCUUCGGGUUGUAAAGUACUUUCAGCGAGGAGGAAGGCGUUGUGGUUAAUAACCGCAGCGAUUGACGUUACUCGCAGAAGAAGCACCGGCUAACUCCGUGCCAGCAGCCGCGGUAAUACGGAGGGUGCAAGCGUUAAUCGGAAUUACUGGGCGUAAAGCGCACGCAGGCGGUCUGUCAAGUCGGAUGUGAAAUCCCCGGGCUCAACCUGGGAACUGCAUCCGAAACUGGCAGGCUAGAGUCUUGUAGAGGGGGGUAGAAUUCCAGGUGUAGCGGUGAAAUGCGUAGAGAUCUGGAGGAAUACCGGUGGCGAAGGCGGCCCCCUGGACAAAGACUGACGCUCAGGUGCGAAAGCGUGGGGGGCAAACAGGAUUAGAUACCCUGGUAGUCCACGCCGUAAACGAUGUCGACUUGGAGGUUGUGCCCUUGAGGCGUGGCUUCCGGAGCUAACGCGUUAAGUCGACCGCCUGGGGAGUACGGCCGCAAGGUUAAAACUCAAAUGAAUUGACGGG
This 888-nucleotide ribosomal RNA is filed under the name uncultured bacterium. Its description in RNAcentral is "bacterial SSU rRNA". It matches the Rfam family "Bacterial small subunit ribosomal RNA", at positions 40 to 917 of the family's 1533-position model. The record is from RNAcentral.